Molecule: long non-coding RNA, 623 nt
Filed under: Callithrix jacchus (white-tufted-ear marmoset)
Lineage: Eukaryota; Metazoa; Chordata; Mammalia; Primates; Cebidae
Description: lncRNA (ENSCJAG00000073022.1)
Source: RNAcentral
GUUUUGGUUAUUUUUCAGAAGAUGUCUGCUGUAUGUUUAAUAUACUAUAUUUGUAUUAUGGGCUCUGGUUCCUGUAAAUCUGAGGUCUCUCUUUCUUGAAUGAAUGAGGAGAUAAGCAAUUGAAUUUGAAAGAUACUUUAUGCAACAGAAAAGCAAUUUUGUUCCUGGUUAUCAGAGGGCAAGAAGUGAACUAGCAAUUUAAUGCUAAAUAUUUUUAACCCCUGGGAAUCUGGUUUGCUUUGAGCCCAAUAAAGAUUAUAUUUUUUUCAAUCCAUCUCAGCUUAUUGUGUUUCAUAUAACAGAGGAGUAUUUUGUUACAAAUUUAGUCAAUUUAAAGUAAUUACCUUUUAUUCUUACUGGGUUUGGAUUUGAUGUUACAGUAUCUCAAAUUUCCAUUUUUAAAAGGGAAGAAGGAAGAUUUCUAUUCCUACCAGUGAAGACUCCUGAAGCGUGGGAUACUGUUUUGCUCUUACAAAGUAGAGACGGGGUUUCACCAUGUUGACCGGGACGGUCUCGAUCUCUUGACCUCGUGACCCACCCGCCUCGGCCUCCCAAAGCGCCGGGAUUACAGGUGUGAGCCACCGCACCCAGCCAACAAGCCAUUCUUUUUAGGUCCUCAUUCA